AGACGUGAGGGUGAUCUGGCUGUCACAUCUGUUACCCCACUGAUCACCAGUGUUGAUCUGGCUGAUCUGACUGGCUACUAGAUGUCCCCUUCCUCCCUCACUGCUCCACGUGCAUCCUUCCUGAAGCCACGCUUGGUCAAAGAGCAUAGGCACCUUCAGGAAAGAGAGGAGGACUGCUCCUCAGUCAAAGGUAUACAAGUAGAUGUACUCCGCUGCCAGCACUUUCAAACAAGUUCUCAAAAAGGGGGUGGGACUGGGAUUGUUUUACCUUUCCCCCCCGGAAUUCUCUGAUCCACAUGAAUUUUUUUCUUU
Molecule: unclassified non-coding RNA, 312 nt
Organism: Cavia aperea (Brazilian guinea pig)
Lineage: Eukaryota; Metazoa; Chordata; Mammalia; Rodentia; Caviidae
Gene: 7SK
Rfam family: 7SK RNA
About the family: 7SK was discovered as an abundant small nuclear RNA in the mid-70s but a possible function has only recently been suggested. Two independent studies have found that 7SK RNA binds the CDK9/cyclin T complex (known as elongation factor P-TEFb). P-TEFb activates transcription by phosphorylating the C-terminal domain of RNA polymerase II.
Source: Ensembl